Long non-coding RNA from Rhea pennata, 214 nucleotides. RefSeq lists it as uncharacterized. The transcript has 3 exons. The record is from RefSeq and is a predicted model, not a curated record. Lineage: Eukaryota; Metazoa; Chordata; Aves; Rheiformes; Rheidae.
AAUCAGCGUUAAGGAGCUGCAGACAAUCCUCAACAGAAUCGUAGGAAAACAUAAAGAUCUCCGGACCAAGGGCUUCAGCGUGGAGUCGUGCCGCAGCAUGGUCAACCUCAUGGAUAAAGACGGAAACGGGAAGCUGGGGCUGGUGGAAUUCAACAUCCUGUGGAACCGCAUCCGGAAUUACCUGGUGGGGGGGCGCUCGGGGGCCGCCCCGCUU